Molecule: ribosomal RNA, 357 nt
Filed under: uncultured bacterium
Lineage: Bacteria
Description: bacterial SSU rRNA
Rfam family: Bacterial small subunit ribosomal RNA
Source: RNAcentral
AACGAACGCUGGCGGCGUGGAUAAGACAUGCAAGUCGAACGGGACUAAAUCUGUAGCAAUACAGGUUUAGUUUAGUGGCGAACGGGUGCGUAACACGUGGGCAAUCUGCCGAGAAGUGGGGGAUAGCUCGCCGAAAGGCGAAUUAAUACCGCAUAUGAUCAGGGAAGACAUCUUCCCAACAUCAAAGCCGGGGCAACCUGGCGCUUCUUGAUGAGCCCGCGGCCUACAGCUAGUUGGUGAGGUAACGGCUCACCAAGGCUAUGACGGGUAGCUGGUCUGAGAGGACGACCAGUCACACUGGAACUGAGACACGGUCCAGACACCUACGGGUGGCAGCAGUCGAGAAUUUUUCUCAAU